Molecule: ribosomal RNA, 253 nt
Filed under: uncultured bacterium
Lineage: Bacteria
Description: partial 16S ribosomal RNA
Rfam family: Bacterial small subunit ribosomal RNA
Source: RNAcentral
UACAGAGGGUGCGAGCGUUAAUCGGAAUUACUGGGCGUAAAGCGUGCGUAGACGGUUAUGUAAGUCAGGUGUGAAAGCCCCGGGCUCAACCUGGGAAUUGCAUUUGAGACUGCAUAGCUAGGGUGCGGAAGAGGGAAGCGGAAUUUCCGGUGUAGCGGUGAAAUGCGUAGAUAUCGGAAGGAACAUCAGUGGCGAAAGCGGCCUCCUGGUCCAGCACCGACGUUCAGGCACGAAAGCGUGGGGAGCAAACAGG